RNAcentral lists this long non-coding RNA (885 nucleotides) under Gossypium barbadense (sea-island cotton). RNAcentral's name for it is "long non-coding RNA (GBAR_LNC003600)". Lineage: Eukaryota; Viridiplantae; Streptophyta; Magnoliopsida; Malvales; Malvaceae. The record is from RNAcentral.
CUGUUUAGUGCAAAUAACUAAAAUCUGCCCUCUCUUUUUGUUAUCCUUUCACCAAAAUUAAUCAGAAACCACCUCAAAAUCCUAUUCAAAACUCAAAUGUAAAACAACCCAGCUCUAUUAAAAUAUAACUCCAAUUACUUGGGUUUUCUAUAAAAUUACAGCUACAAAUUAAUACGAGAGCGAUGAAAAGAUCAAAAGGCAAAAAGAAGGAAAAUUUAUGAGGGGUAUUUAUUCUUCCAGUAUUUGGACUGUACAAAAGUUAGGAAAUCUAAGCGGAAAGAAAAAGGAAAAAAAAAAGAUUUCUUUCGUUAGUAUGAUUAGGUAUAAAAAUAAAAAAAAGAAUGGGGUUUUGUUGGUUUUCUUUUCUUCCUUUUGCGAAGCCAAAUUUGAGAGCGAACGUGGAUCAGCAGAAAUAAGUCGAACAUUCACUCACCAUACAAGAACCCCAGAUUUUAUUUUUGAUUCUUAGCAGAAAAAGUCCAAACCUUUGCAACAUCUUCAAUCAAGGCUUCAUCUUUAUUUGUCAAAUAGGCAACUGGGAAAUCAUAAAGAGAGAGAAGCACAGAUCUCAAAAGCGCAAAGAAUAUAAAUGAAGUGGGGCAAAAAGUGGGUUAUGGGGGUGGCGGGUUCACGGAAAAUGAAAUGCUGAAGAGGAUAAUGUCAAUAAGAAGGAAAUGGUAAGUGAAGGAGUGGGAGAGAAUGAGAAAAAAGUAGAGCGCUUUAACGGUAGAGACCAGAGAGGAAUGGGAUUGUAGCAAAGUGUUAGCGUAUCGAGGAAAACAGACACGUGUCCAGUAAUUGCUUCUAUAGGUAUUAGUUUUAUAGGCUGAUUUUAAGGUUCACUUGUUUUAAGCAGCUUGAUUGUUGGCAGGGAUUAGCUUGCUU